This 320-nucleotide ribosomal RNA is filed under the name uncultured Chloroflexota bacterium. RNAcentral's name for it is "bacterial SSU rRNA". It matches the Rfam family "Bacterial small subunit ribosomal RNA", at positions 28 to 351 of the family's 1533-position model. Lineage: Bacteria; Bacillati; Chloroflexota. The record is from RNAcentral.
GAUGAACGCUGGCGGCGUGCUUAAUACAUGCAAGUCGAACGGAGUGCUAGCAAUAGUACUUAGUGGCGAACGGGUGAGUAACGCGUUGGUGACCUGCCCCGGAGAUGGGGGAUAACAGUUCGAAAGGACUGCUAAUACCCAAUGAAGUCAUCGAGGUUAGAGGCUUGGUGACGAAAGGAGAAAUCCGCUGCGGGAGGGGCCUGCGUCCCAUCAGCUAGUUGGUAGGGUAAAGGCCUACCAAGGCGAAGACGGGUAGGGGACCUGAGAGGGUGAUCCCCCACAUUGGCACUGAAACACGGGCCAAACACCUACGGGUGCAG